AUGUUGAAAAAUUAGCGGAUGACCUGUGGCUGGGGGUGAAAGGCCAAUCAAACCGGGAGAUAGCUGGUUCUCCCCGAAAGCUAUUUAGGUAGCGCCUCGUGAAUUCAUCUCCGGGGGUAGAGCACUGUUUCGGCUAGGGGGCCAUCCCGGCUUACCAACCCGAUGCAAACUGCGAAUACCGGAGAAUGUUAUCACGGGAGACACACGGCGGGUGCUAACGUCCGUCGUGAAGAGGGAAACAACCCAGACCGCCAGCUAAGGUCCCAAAGUCAUGGUUAAGUGGGAAACGAUGUGGGAAGGCCCAGACAGCCAGGAUGUUGGCUUAGAAGCAGCCAUCAUUUAAAGAAAGCGUAAUAGCUCACUGGUCGAGUCGGCCUGCGCGGAAGAUGUAACGGGGCUAAACCAUG
RNAcentral lists this ribosomal RNA (407 nucleotides) under Salmonella enterica subsp. enterica serovar Newport. RNAcentral describes it as "partial 23S ribosomal RNA". It matches the Rfam family "Bacterial large subunit ribosomal RNA", at positions 786 to 1191 of the family's 2925-position model. Lineage: Bacteria; Pseudomonadati; Pseudomonadota; Gammaproteobacteria; Enterobacterales; Enterobacteriaceae. The record is from RNAcentral.